Molecule: ribosomal RNA, 442 nt
Filed under: uncultured bacterium
Lineage: Bacteria
Description: partial 16S ribosomal RNA
Rfam family: Bacterial small subunit ribosomal RNA
Source: RNAcentral
CCUACGGGAGACAGCAGUGAGGAAUAUUGGUCAAUGGACGAGAGUCUGACCCAUCAACGCCGCGUGAAGGAAGAAGGCUUUCGGGUUGUAAACUUCUUUUGUCAGGGAAGAGUAGAAGACGGUACCUGACGAAUAAGCAACGGCUAACUACGUGCCAGCAGCCGCGGUAAUACGGAGGUGGCAAGCGUUGUCCGGAUUUACUGGGGGUAAAGGGCGUGUAGCCGGGUUGACAAGUCAGAUGUGAAAUCCUGCGGCUUAACCGCAGAACUGCAUUUGAAACUGUUGAUCUUGAGUACUGGAGAGGCAGACGGAAUUCCUAGUGUAGCGGUGAAAUGCGUAGAUAUUAGGAGGAACACCAGUGGCGAAGGCGGUCUGUUGGACAGCAACUGACGGUGAGGCGCGAAAGCGUGGGGAGCAAACAGGAUUAGAUACCCCAGUAGUC